RNAcentral lists this ribosomal RNA (660 nucleotides) under Pedobacter sp. AR-380. Its description in RNAcentral is "bacterial SSU rRNA". It matches the Rfam family "Bacterial small subunit ribosomal RNA", at positions 96 to 754 of the family's 1533-position model. The record is from RNAcentral. Lineage: Bacteria; Pseudomonadati; Bacteroidota; Sphingobacteriia; Sphingobacteriales; Sphingobacteriaceae.
UGGCGCACGGGUGCGUAACGCGUAUGCAACCUACCUUAAUCAGGGGGAUAGCCCGAAGAAAUUCGGAUUAACACCGCAUAAAAACACAGGAUAGCAUUAUCCAAUGUUCAAAUAUUUAUAGGAUUAAGAUGGGCAUGCGUGUCAUUAGCUAGUUGGCGGGGUAACGGCCCACCAAGGCGACGAUGACUAGGGGAUCUGAGAGGAUGACCCCCCACACUGGUACUGAGACACGGACCAGACUCCUACGGGAGGCAGCAGUAAGGAAUAUUGGUCAAUGGAGGCAACUCUGAACCAGCCAUGCCGCGUGCAGGAAGACAGCCCUCUGGGUCGUAAACUGCUUUUAUUCGGGAAUAAACCUAUCUACGUGUAGAUAGCUGAAUGUACCGAAGGAAUAAGGAUCGGCUAACUCCGUGCCAGCAGCCGCGGUAAUACGGAGGAUCCAAGCGUUAUCCGGAUUUAUUGGGUUUAAAGGGUGCGUAGGCGGCUUAUUAAGUCAGGGGUGAAAGACGGUGGCUCAACCAUCGCAGUGCCCUUGAUACUGAUGAGCUUGAAUACACUAGAGGUAGGCGGAAUGUGACAAGUAGCGGUGAAAUGCAUAGAUAUGUCACAGAACACCGAUUGCGAAGGCAGCUUACUAUGGUGAGAUUGACGCUGAGGCAC